GCGGUACGCGCGGGAGAGAGUGGGAAACCGCCGCCGAAGGAGCAACCGCCCCGGAAUCUCUCAGGCACCAGGGACCGCGCGUGGCCC
RNAcentral lists this non-coding RNA (87 nucleotides) under Sphingomonas sp. Its description in RNAcentral is "Glycine sequence". It matches the Rfam family "Glycine riboswitch aptamer". From Rfam's summary of the family: This family represents the bacterial glycine riboswitch. The record is from RNAcentral. Lineage: Bacteria; Pseudomonadati; Pseudomonadota; Alphaproteobacteria; Sphingomonadales; Sphingomonadaceae. RNAcentral also lists the same sequence under 1 other name.